Molecule: ribosomal RNA, 336 nt
Filed under: Schistosoma rodhaini
Lineage: Eukaryota; Metazoa; Platyhelminthes; Trematoda; Strigeidida; Schistosomatidae
Description: SSU rRNA
Rfam family: Eukaryotic small subunit ribosomal RNA
Source: RNAcentral
UCCAGCUCCAAAAGCGUAUAUUAAAGUUGCUGCAGUUAAAAAGCUCGUAGUUGAAUCUGGGUCGUGCGGUCGCAUGCCGUUGCUUGUUCACGGUUUUGGUUACGAUCAGGACCAGUGUUCAGCUCGGUGUAGUGGCUGUGCAGCCUUUCAGCCGUGUCUGUGUUAAACGGGUGCUGGUGGGUUGACGAGUUCGUCUUGUUGACCUGUCGGCAUGCUUCCGGAUGCCUUUAAACGGGUGUCGGGAGCGGACGGCAUCUUUACUUUGAACAAAUUUGAGUGCUCAAAGCAGGCCUAUGUGCCUGAAAAUUCUUGCAUGGAAUAAUGAAAUAGGACUUC